Molecule: long non-coding RNA, 1576 nt
Organism: Oryzias melastigma (Indian medaka)
Lineage: Eukaryota; Metazoa; Chordata; Actinopteri; Beloniformes; Adrianichthyidae
Exons: 3
Source: RefSeq, a predicted model, not a curated record
CUGCUCCACAGACCGUCUGCCUCUCACUGAGCGCGGGUUCGUUUCCGCCCACAUCCCCGCCGGUCCGAAUGGCCGCCCUCACCAAUCAGCUUCAGCCUGCGCAGAUUCCUUUCCUCUGAGCCGCCGGCGCGGAGGAGAGCGGCGUGCAGGCGGACAGCUGUCAUCGCCGCUCAAUCCGGAGCUGAUUUUCCUUCAACAGAUGAAGGAAUUCCCAGAGGAUCCCGUGACGAAUGACAGAGGAGGAAAACCCCCAAAGAUCUCAGCACAAGGGGAUGAGUCAGAAUGAGAGAACAGGUGGAAUAAAUUCCGCUCUGUGACACAAAGGUUGUCUUGGAGUUGUUUAACAAAGCAGAUAAAAACAGUGGAUCCAGAAAAGAAAAAAAAAACACAGUUUGCAGCCGUCCGUUAACAGACACACGUCAGAAGGCGCUAAUUAGAACACAUCGCUCUGGACACAAACACGACUUUCACCCAGAUUUGGAGCCAUCGCACCUCCUACUCAUGCAUCCAAAUACCUGGUGCCAUGACAACUCGCUGGCUGCCUCUCGAGCGGGAUUUACAACUGAAAGUGUCACAAAAAAGGCACUAUCGGUGCUGAACAGUACGUCUCAUGGACAGUUUUCUCUCUGUGAAUCACCAACCGCCUUCUAAGCUCUGACUUUUAGCUACGUUAUUCAGUAAACUCAAAAACACAAAGUUGUACCAUAUACAAAAAUAUAAGAGCAAUCUUUCAAAAGUGACAUUUGUGAUGCCAUUUUUCCUCCACUAUAAAGAUGUCAUCAAAACUAUUUCCUACCUGUUUCUGCUGUCAAGACGACAUGUUUUUCUCUUUGAAAUGCCUCGAAGACACUUUUAUUACACAUCCCGAUGCACACUGCCGUUCUGAUUUAUGUAGCACAGCUGUUUUUUAUAAUAAACACAACAGUAUUCUGUGGUGCGUUAAAUAGAAAUAGAGAUAAGAAUUUGUGUGUGUGAUUAAAUCAACGAUUUGCAGUGUGAGAUAAAAUAACAAUAUAUGGAGACUUUAUUAAAACGAGGGCUGAUGACAUAUAUCAGGGUAAAUACAGCAUCCUGAACCUUUUCUGAUAGCUUGAUUUUGAACUCGAAGUCAAGCAAGUGGUAAAGAUAGUGUGGUCAAGUUGGGUCAGAAAUUAAAAGUAAAACCCAAAUAUUUUAUAAAGAUUGGAUAAUUAAUAAAAAUUGAAUGUACAAACAUUUUUUCAAGUGAAAAAUCCUUCAUAUGCAAUAACUAUUGUCUAUAUUUACCAAACUGGUGAACAUCGGAGCGCACUUUUUUUUGCAAAGACUUCUGGGAAAUUUCCAAGGGACUAAAUUUUGGAAUUGUAGCUGAAAAACUGACGAACACCUUUAUAGUGAGGGAAUUCAGAUGAAGCCCAAGUCUCUUACGUUUGUGAAAUGUGGCUUUUGGAUGGUUAGCUUUAGGGCCGCCAUGACCAAUCGACGACUAAUCGACUAUUAAAAUGGUCAACGACUAAUUUAAUAGUCGAUUAGUCGUUACUUUAUUUUAAACGGAGUCACACUGUAGUAAAGUUAAAAACUUUUGAUGGUAUUCUGU